UCCACUAUGGGUCAGUGGUUAACGCGCCUGCUAAAGUUUAAUUAUCGAGGCAGGAGGUUGGGGUUCGAUUCCUCCAGGUGGCA
Mycena capillaripes is the source of this 83-nucleotide non-coding RNA. NCBI's taxonomy places the organism in Eukaryota, Fungi, Basidiomycota, Agaricomycetes, Agaricales, Mycenaceae. The record is from the annotation of a GenBank genome assembly.